GCAUAAAUGGAUGGCUAAUUGAGACGUCUAGAAAGCGAAGGUUGGAAAUGGUAUAAAUGGAUGUUGGAAGCAAGAGAGAUGGCAUUGUCUGCAAUUUUGAAGCAUCUAAUUUGAGAAGUGUCUUCCAGUCACCGUAACCGAAUCAAUCACCAUGGCCAAGGCUCUCUUCCUCGUUCUCGCUGCCGUCCUCAUCGUGGCUGUCGUCGCCGACUUCGACUUCGAAGAUGAAGAAGCUCUUGAUGAGAUGCUCUCCUUUGAGAAGAGGGGAAGCAUGAUGAACAAGUACAGAUUCUGUAUGAAGGGUCAGAACAGCUGUUGGUGUAAUAAGAAGACCAGGAAGGUUGUCUUCUGUAAUGGCAAGGGUCAGUAAUCUUAAAAACAUCCAAAGAAUUCAUCCGAUCGAAAGGCCUAAACACUUCUCGACAUCAUACCACCCCUUCAUCCUAAUGAGAAACCAAACUGAAAGUUUAUCCUGCCAUCAUCCACCCACCGGAGUCCAUUCCAACCAACGAGGUAGCAAGCUUCCUCUUCUCUCAGAUUUCGAAUCUUUAUUUUUGUAUUAAAAGUGCCCUGUCCUUCUUUUUUGGAAGAUCACGUGCGUGUACUGACGACCCCAUCGUGGUAAAAUGUCCAUGAUUUGAUAAAAUGGUGAAUUUGCCAUAAUAAUAAAUGCCCUUCCAUAUAA
Molecule: long non-coding RNA, 685 nt
Organism: Lytechinus pictus (painted urchin)
Lineage: Eukaryota; Metazoa; Echinodermata; Echinoidea; Temnopleuroida; Toxopneustidae
Exons: 4
Source: RefSeq, a predicted model, not a curated record